This is a long non-coding RNA of Sycon ciliatum, 487 nucleotides long. RefSeq lists it as uncharacterized. The transcript has 5 exons. The record is from RefSeq and is a predicted model, not a curated record. Lineage: Eukaryota; Metazoa; Porifera; Calcarea; Leucosolenida; Sycettidae.
ACUUCCGGGCGCGCAAAUAUGACGAGAUCACUCUUGAGGUGAACACGACCGUAGACAUUCUUGAGAAAACACUUGAUGGCUGGUGGAAAGUACGGGCCAACGGAAGAGAGGGCCUGUUUCCAUCGACGUUCUUGAAGAAGAUGAGCAUAAAGCAGACAGCGAAGAGUAGCAAGGGCCACCCCGCAUCGAGCAUCACCGACACGGAAGGCGAGGCUACGUACGGCGUCUUAGUGAAUCCUCCGCCUAGACGGCAAGAGAUUGAGGACGUAGACAGUAUCUACAGCUCAAUUGAGUCCUUAAAAAGAGAAGCCAAAGGUCCAGCACCUUCACACAAGCCUGCACCGUAAGUGUGUGCGUGCCAGUGUGUAUGUGUGUGGUAUGUGCACAUAUGUGUUUGAGUGUUUCCAGCCCACUCCGACAACCUGCAAUUGCCUGGAUUUGCUCUCCAAUUGAAAAUUCCACUCUGUGUCCAUUUCUCAUCCAGUCU